AUGGGAUGGACACGGAAUCAACAUGGGAUUGACAUGGGAUUAACAUGGGAUCUACACGGGAUCAACAUGGGAUUAACACGGGAUCGACAUGGGGUGGACUUGGGAUUAACAUGGGAUCUACACGGGAUUGACAUGGGAUUAACAUGGGAUCAACAUGGGAUUAACAUGGGAUUAACAUGGGAUGGUCACAGUGCUCUUCCGCCACGCCACCGACCCACACAGUGCACAUGCUAAGAACAUGCUAAGAACCCGUGAUGAGCCCCAUCUUAACACGCUAAGAACAUGGUAAGAAACCGCGAUGAAUUCCAGUUUAACAUGCUAAGAACAUACUAAGAUCAUGCUAAGAACCUGUGAUGAAUCCCAGCCAAACAUGGCAAGAACAUGAUACGAACAUACUAAGAACCCGUGAUGAAUCAGAGCCAAACAUGCUAAGAACACGCUACGAAGACACUAAGAACAUACUUGCUUAGAUCAUGCUAAGAACCCGCGAUGAAUCCCAGCCAAACAUGCUAAGAACACGCUAAGAAGACCCUAAGAACAUACUGAGAUCAUGCUAAGAACCUGCGAUGAAUCCCAGCCAAACAUGGUAAGAACAUGCUAAGAACCAGCAAUGAAUCACAGCCAUAUGUGCUAAGAACAUGCUAAGAACAUGGCAAGAACCUGCCAUAUAUCUCAGCCUCACAUGCUAAGAACACGUUAAGAAUAUGGUAAGAACACACUACGAUCAUGAUAAGAACAUACUAAGAACCUGCGAUCAAUCUCAGUCAAACAUAUUAAGAACACGCUAAGAAAACACUAAGAACAUGCUAAGAUCAUGCUAAGAACCCACAAUGAAUCCCUGUCAAACAUGCUAAGAACAUGCUAAGAACAUGUUAAGAACACACAACGCCUUCCAGACGGAUUUCAUGAUGGUUCUCUCCUAUAACAUGCCUUAAGCGUGUUCCAGGCUUGUUCCAAGCAUGAUCUAAGCGUGUUCUAAGCGUGUUCGGAGUCCAAACAAGGCGAAAUCUUCAAUUUCAGGCUGUUUUCAUGAUGGUUUCAUGCCAUUUUGCUACUUAAUGUGUUCUUAGCGUGUUCUUAGCAUGUUCUAGGCAUGUUCUUAGCCUGUUCUAAGCGUGUUCCAUGUCCGAACAAGGUGGAAUCUCCAAAAUCAGGCUGUUUUCACAAGGAUUUCAUCCCGUGUUCCCCCUUAGCGUGUUCUACAUGUGUCCUAAGCAUGUUCUAAGUGUGUUCU
RNAcentral lists this long non-coding RNA (1234 nucleotides) under Coturnix japonica (Japanese quail). Its description in RNAcentral is "lncRNA (ENSCJPG00005005843.1)". Lineage: Eukaryota; Metazoa; Chordata; Aves; Galliformes; Phasianidae. The record is from RNAcentral.